Molecule: ribosomal RNA, 263 nt
Filed under: uncultured archaeon
Lineage: Archaea
Description: partial 16S ribosomal RNA
Rfam family: Archaeal small subunit ribosomal RNA
Source: RNAcentral
AGUCACUGACAUUAGAUACCCGUGUAGUCCAGGGUGUAAACGCUGCAGACUUGGUGUUGGAAGCCCUUUGGGGGCAUUCAGUGCCGGAGAGAAGUUGUUAAGUCUGCUACUUGGGAGUACGUCCGCAAGGAUGAAACUUAAAGGAAUUGGCGGGGGAGCACCGCAACGGGAGGAGCGUGCGGUUUAAUUGGAUUCAACACCGUAAACUCACCAGGGAAGACUGUUACAUGAAGGCCGAGAUGAAGACUCUGCUAGAUUUUCAG